AACGAACGCUGGCGGCAGGCUUAACACAUGCAAGUCGAGCGAGACCUUCGGGUCUAGCGGCGGACGGGUGAGUAACGCGUGGGAACGUGCCCUUCUCUACGGAAUAGCCCCGGGAAACUGGGAGUAAUACCGUAUACGCCCUUUGGGGGAAAGAUUUAUCAGAGAAGGAUCGGCCCGCGUUGGAUUAGGUAGUUGGUGGGGUAAUGGCCCACCAAGCCGACGAUCCAUAGCUGGUUUGAGAGGAUGAUCAGCCACACUGGGACUGAGACACGGCCCAGACUCCUACGGGAGGCAGCAGUGGGGAAUCUUAGACAAUGGGGGCAACCCUGAUCUAGCCAUGCCGCGUGAGUGAUGAAGGCCUUAGGGUUGUAAAGCUCUUUCAGCUGGGAAGAUAAUGACGGUACCAGCAGAAGAAGCCCCGGCUAACUCCGUG
This 433-nucleotide ribosomal RNA is filed under the name uncultured bacterium. RNAcentral describes it as "partial 16S ribosomal RNA". It matches the Rfam family "Bacterial small subunit ribosomal RNA", at positions 29 to 507 of the family's 1533-position model. The record is from RNAcentral.